UACAGAGGGGGCAAGCGUUAUUCGGAAUUAUUGGGCGUAAAGGGCUCGUAGGCGGCUUGUCGCGUCGGGAGUGAAAGCCCGCUGCUUAACGGCGGGUUUGCUUUCGGUACGGGCUGGCUGGAGUGCGGCAGGGGAGACUGGAAUUCCUGGUGUAGCGGUGGAAUGCGCAGAUAUCAGGAGGAACACCGGUGGCGAAGGCGGGUCUCUGGGCCGUUACUGACGCUGAGGAGCGAAAGCGUGGGGAGCGAACAGG
Molecule: ribosomal RNA, 253 nt
Filed under: uncultured bacterium
Lineage: Bacteria
Description: partial 16S ribosomal RNA
Rfam family: Bacterial small subunit ribosomal RNA
Source: RNAcentral